CCCUUAGAUAUCCUAGGCUGCACGCGCGCUACAAUGGUAUAUAUAAAAGGUUGCUGCUCUGAGAAGACUGGCAAUACCCUGAUAUAUAUCGUAUUUGGAAUAGAUUUUUGUAAUUAUCAAUCUUGAACGAGGAAUUCCUAGUAAAAAUAUUUCAUCAUAAUGUUUUGAUUGUGUCCCUGCCCUUUGUACACACCGCCCGUCGCUCCUACCGAUUGAAUAUUCCGGUGAGAAGAUAGGAGAAAAAUCUUUUGAUUUUUUGAAUAUUUUUGAACCUUGAUAUUUAGAGGAAGGAGAAGUCGUAACA
Molecule: ribosomal RNA, 304 nt
Filed under: uncultured eukaryote
Lineage: Eukaryota
Description: partial 18S ribosomal RNA
Rfam family: Eukaryotic small subunit ribosomal RNA
Source: RNAcentral